This 194-nucleotide unclassified non-coding RNA is filed under the name uncultured fungus. RNAcentral's name for it is "sequence contains ITS1". The record is from RNAcentral. Lineage: Eukaryota; Fungi.
UUAACUUAUUUUGUUUUUCUCAGACGACACUAAACACAGAGUUGGGGUCCUCUGGCGGGCACGCCCCGGCCGAAGCCGGGAGCCCCCGAGGGGGCGACCCGCCAAAGCAACAUCGGUAAAUAACACAGGGUGGGAGGUCUACCCCGGAGGGCAUGAUCUCUUUAAUGAUCCUUCCGCUGGUUCACCAACGGAAA